Molecule: transfer RNA, 69 nt
Filed under: Marmota monax (woodchuck)
Lineage: Eukaryota; Metazoa; Chordata; Mammalia; Rodentia; Sciuridae
Description: tRNA.Glu
Rfam family: tRNA
About the family: Transfer RNA (tRNA) molecules are approximately 80 nucleotides in length. Their secondary structure includes four short double-helical elements and three loops (D, anti-codon, and T loops).
Source: RNAcentral
GGAAUUUAGCUCAGUAGGUAGAGUGCCAGCCUCUCAUGCACAAGGACCUGGGUUCAAUUCCCAGUUCCA